This 253-nucleotide ribosomal RNA is filed under the name uncultured bacterium. RNAcentral's name for it is "partial 16S ribosomal RNA". It matches the Rfam family "Bacterial small subunit ribosomal RNA", at positions 524 to 776 of the family's 1533-position model. The record is from RNAcentral.
UACGUAGGGGGCAAGCGUUGUCCGGAUUUAUUGGGCGUAAAGGGCGCGUAGGCGGCCUGCUAAGUCGGAUGUGAAAUCCCUCGGCUCAACCGAGGAACUGCAGCCGAUACUGGCGGGCUUGAGUCCGGGAGAGGGAUGUGGAAUUCCAGGUGUAGCGGUGAAAUGCGUAGAUAUCUGGAGGAACACCGGUGGCGAAGGCGGCAUCCUGGACCGGUAUUGACGCUGAGGCGCGAAAGCGAGGGGAGCAAACGGG